GACGAACGCUGGCGGCGUGCUUAACACAUGCGAGUCGAACGGAAAGGCCCUGCUUUUGUGGGGUGCUCGAGUGGCGAACGGGUGAGUAACACGUGAGUAACCUGCCCUUGACUUUGGGAUAACUUCAGGAAACUGGGGCUAAUACCGGAUAGGAGCUCCUGCUGCAUGGUGGGGGUUGGAAAGUUUCGGCGGUUGGGGAUGGACUCGCGGCUUAUCAGCUUGUUGGUGGGGUAGUGGCUUACCAAGGCUUUGACGGGUAGCCGGCCUGAGAGGGUGACCGGCCACAUGGGGCCUGAGAUACGGCCCAGACUCCUACGGGUGGCAGCAGUGGGGAAUAUUGCACAAUGGGCGGAAGCCUGAUGCAGCAACGCCGCGUGCGGGAUGACGGCCUUCGGGUUGUAAACCGCUUUCGCCUGUGACGAAGCGUGAGUGACGGUAAUGGGUAAAGAAGCACCGGCUAACUACGUG
This 468-nucleotide ribosomal RNA is filed under the name uncultured bacterium. RNAcentral's name for it is "partial 16S ribosomal RNA". It matches the Rfam family "Bacterial small subunit ribosomal RNA", at positions 28 to 507 of the family's 1533-position model. The record is from RNAcentral.